Papaver somniferum (opium poppy) is the source of this 74-nucleotide non-coding RNA. Lineage: Eukaryota; Viridiplantae; Streptophyta; Magnoliopsida; Ranunculales; Papaveraceae. The record is from the annotation of a RefSeq genome assembly.
GCUCGUGUAGCUCAGUUGGUUAGAGCGUUGGUCUGAUGAGCCGAAGGUUGCGGGUUCGAGCCCCUCCGGGAGCA